CCUAGUGGUUAGAGUGUAGAGGAGGUAGGUAGCCUAGUGGUUAGAGUGUAGAGGAGGUAGGUAGCCUAGUGGUUAGAGUGUAGAGGAGGUAGGUAGCCUAGUGGUUAGAGUGUAGAGGAGGUAGGUAGCCUAGUGGUUAGAGUGUAGAGGAGGUAGGUAGCCUAGUGGUUAGAGUGUAGAGGCGGCAGGGUAGCCUAGUGGUUAGAGUGUAGAGGAGGUAGGUAGCCUAGUGGUUAGAGUGUAGAGGAGGUAGGUAGCCUAGUGGUUAGAGUGUAGAGGAGGUAGGUAGCCUAGUGGUUAGAGUGUAGGGGCGGCAGGGUAGCCUAGUGGUUAGAGUGUAGGGGCGGCAGGGUAGCCUAGUGGUUAGAGUGUAGAGGAGGUAGGGUAGCCUAGUGGUUAGAGUGUAGAGGCGGCAGGGUAGCCUAGUGGUUAGAGUGUAGAGGCGGCAGGGUAGCCUAGUGGUUAGAGUGUAGAGGAGGCAGGGUAGCCUAGUGGUUAGAGUGUAGAGGAGGCAGGUAGCCUAGUGGUUAGAGUGUAGAGGAGGUAGGUAGCCUAGUGGUUAGAGUGUAGAGGAGGUAGGUAGCCUAGUGGUUAGAGUGUAGAGGAGGCAGGGUAGCCUAGUGGUUAGAGUGUAGAGGGGGCAGGGUAGCCUAGUGGUUAGAGUGUAGAGGUGGCAGGGUAGCCUAGUGGUUAGAGUGUAGAGGAGGCAGGGUAGCCUAGUGGUUAGAGUGUAGAGGCGGCAGGGUAGCCUAGUGGUUAGAGUGUAGAGGAGGCAGGGUAGCCUAGUGGUUAGAGUGUAGAGGCGGCAGGGUAGCCUAGUGGUUAGAGUGUAGAGGCGGCAGGGUAGCCUAGUGGUUAGAGUGUAGAGGAGGCAGGGUAGCCUAGUGGUUAGAGUGUAGAGGCGGCAGGGUAGCCUAGUGGUUAGAGUGUAGAGGAGGCAGGGUAGCCUAGUGGUUAGAGUGUAGAGGAGGCAGGGUAGCCUAGUGGUUAGAGUGUAGAGGAGGCAGGGUAGCCUAGUGGUUAGAGUGUAGAGGAGGCAGGGUAGCCUAGUGGUUAGAGUGUAGAGGAGGUAGGUAGCCUAGUGGUUAGAGUGUAGAGGAGGUAGGUAGCCUAGUGGUUAGAGUGUAGAGGAGGCAGGGUAGCCUAGUGGUUAGAGUGUAGAGGCGGCAGGGUAGCCUAGUGGUUAGAGUGUAGAGGAGGCAGGUAGCCUAGUGGUUAGAGUGUAGAGGUGGCAGGGUAGCCUAGUGGUUAGAGUGUAGAGGUGGCAGGGUA
This is a long non-coding RNA of Oncorhynchus keta (chum salmon), 1272 nucleotides long. RefSeq lists it as uncharacterized. The transcript is spliced from 3 exons. NCBI's taxonomy places the organism in Eukaryota, Metazoa, Chordata, Actinopteri, Salmoniformes, Salmonidae. The record is from RefSeq and is a predicted model, not a curated record.